RNAcentral lists this small RNA (538 nucleotides) under Oryza sativa Japonica Group (Japanese rice). RNAcentral's name for it is "sRNA Os02g0552450". The record is from RNAcentral. Lineage: Eukaryota; Viridiplantae; Streptophyta; Magnoliopsida; Poales; Poaceae.
UUUAUUCUUGUACAGGUGUAUGUAUGUACAAACUAGAAUUACAUGAUCAGCAGCUUUACAACGUGCAAUGUACAUUAGGGUCUUUUUGUUGCAGAAGCUUGAUGCACACACAGUUGCAAGGGGGCAGUUUCCAUCAGAUGCCAGCACCCAUUAUCUCCCAAAAAUUCCUGCUAUUUCUCUGCAAUACUGAAACAUCCGAAUGCUAGAUUCAAAUGCUACAGUCCACAUACUUCUUGCAAAGAAGGGCUGAAGAUCUUGACUUAAGAUGUCCCUUCUGAUUUAUUGUUCCUGUUUCACCUCUCGCCCAGGGACCGGUAGAACCUGGCGAAGCGGCCGCGCUCCUUGGGCUUGGGCUUGACGGGCUUCUUCCGGCGGAGCCCGGCGAUCUCCUGCACCAGCGGGACGUGCACCAGCACCGUCCUCCACGCCACGGCGGCCGUACUGAGGGCGAUGAUGGAGAGGACGAAGGCGAAGGCGAGGAGGGGCCGGAGGACGAAGACGACGGCGAUCUCCCACGCCGCCGCCGCCAGCGCGGCUC